GCUGGUGUUGCUCAGUGGUUGAGCAUCAACCUAUGAACCAGGAGAUCAUGGUUCAAUUCCUGGUUAGAGCA
Molecule: non-coding RNA, 71 nt
Organism: Cnephaeus nilssonii (northern bat)
Lineage: Eukaryota; Metazoa; Chordata; Mammalia; Chiroptera; Vespertilionidae
Source: the annotation of a GenBank genome assembly